This is a long non-coding RNA of Cygnus olor (mute swan), 743 nucleotides long. RefSeq lists it as uncharacterized. The record is from RefSeq and is a predicted model, not a curated record. NCBI's taxonomy places the organism in Eukaryota, Metazoa, Chordata, Aves, Anseriformes, Anatidae. The transcript has 3 exons.
AAAGCCAAAGCACAAAAAGUUAAAAAGUUGAAGCGCCCUGGCUUCUUCUGGAGGUGCACACACAAUCUGCAGAGGUGCACACACAAUUUGUGGAGGAAACGUGCUGAGGAGCAACCUGGCCUGGAAACCAGCUGCAAGGAUGUGGAGGGAGCUACGCCCCUUCUCCCCCCAGGCCAGAGCCGUCUGCUGUGGGACUGACUAGGAGGAGAGAGCUGGAGCUCACCAACCUGCCGUCACCACUCAUUGUGCCAAGCCCACAGCACUUCAGUAAACCCUGCUAAUCCCACUGCCAGUCUGGGCUGGAGGACAGACAGCACAUGACCGGAGGAAGAGGAAGAGCAAGAUAUCCUGAGGUAAAUUGUCCUUUGGUGGCAGCGAUGGAAAUAUGGGCUGAAGAUGGGGAGUCUCCCUUCACAGCCAGUGAGACGUUCUCUGUGUGCAGCUUCCCAACGGCUGUGGAUCCUUGGAGACCAAGGAUUUGUAAUGAUUUUUUGUGGGUGUUAAGUGUUCUUAUACAAGUGAAAAAUAAAUGACUCACAGGAAGAAAAGAAAUUCAUAAUUUUUUUCCACGCUGAAAACUCCACUAUUGUCAUAUUUGUUUUAUCUCUAGUCGGGAUGAAAGUCAAUGGGUUAACAUUAUUUGAGGAAUCUCGAGUCCCCCCCAAAUUGUUACAUGAAUGUAAUACAAAAAUGCUUCAAUAUUAUCAACUGAAAUAAAAUGUUUGGCUAUUUUCAAAUCCAAA